RNAcentral lists this ribosomal RNA (468 nucleotides) under uncultured bacterium. RNAcentral describes it as "partial 16S ribosomal RNA". It matches the Rfam family "Bacterial small subunit ribosomal RNA", at positions 28 to 507 of the family's 1533-position model. The record is from RNAcentral.
GACGAACGCUGGCGGCGUGCUUAACACAUGCAAGUCGAACGGAAAGGCCCUGCUUUUGUUGGGCGCUCGAGUGGCGAACGGGGGAGUAACACAUGAGUAACCUGCCCUUGACUUUGUGAUAACUUCAGGAAACUGGGGCUAAUACCGGGUAGGAGCUCCUGCUGCAUGGGGGUGGUUGGAAAGUUUCGGCGGUUGGGGAUGGACUCGCGGCUUAUCAGCUUGUUGGUGGGGUAGUUGCUUACCAGGGCUUUGACGGGUACCCGACCUGAGAGGGUGACCGGCCACCUUGGGACUGCGAUACGGCCCAGAAUCCUACGGGAGGCAGCAGUGGGGAAUCUUGCGCAAUGGGCGGACGCCUGAUGCAGCAACGCCGCGUGCGGGAUGACGGCCUUCGGGUUGUAAACCGAUUUCGACUGUGACGAAGAGUGAGUGACGGUACUGGGUAAAGAAGCACCGGCUAACUACGUG